GAGUUUGAUCCUGGCUCAGGAUAAACGCCUGGCGGCGCACAUAAGACAUGCAAGUCGAACGGAAGUCGUUGUAAUGAUAUAGACAUGGACGGAGAACUUGUUCAAAGAAAGUGGAAGUUGACUUACAACAAUGGCUUUAGUGGCGGACUGGUGAGUAACACGUAAGCAACCUGCCUAUCAGAGGGGAACAACAGUUAGAAAUGACUGCUAAUACCGCAUAUGCCUAAGUAUCACAUGGUACAAUAGGGAAAGGAGCAAUCUGCUGAUAGAUGGCUUGCGUCUGAUUAGAUAGUUGGUGGGGUAACGGCCUACCAAGUCAACGAUCAGUAGCCGGACUGACAGGUUGAACGGCCACAUUGGGACUGAGAUACGGCCCAGACUCCUACGGGAGGCAGCAGUCGGGAAUAUUGCGCAAUGGAGGAAACUCUGACGCAGUGACGCCGCGUGCAGGAAGAAGGUUUUCGGAUUGUAAACUGCUUUAGACAGGGAACAACAAAGACAGUACCUGUAGAAUAAGCUCCGGCUAACUACGUGCCAGCAGCCGCGGUAAUACGUAGGGAGCAAGCGUUAUCCGGAUUUAUUGGGUGUUAAGGGUGCGUAGACGGGAAAUUACGUUAGUUGUGAAAUCCCUCGGCUUAACUGAGGAACUGCCACUAAAACUGGUUUUCUUGAGUGCUGGAGAGGAAAGUGGAAUUCCUAGUGUAGCGGUGAAAUGCGUAGAUAUUAGGAGGAACACCAGUGGCGAAGGCGACUUUCUGGACAGUAACUGACGUUGAGGCACGAAAGUGUGGGGAGCACACAGGAUUAGAUACNCUGGUAGUCCACACCGUAAACGAUGGAUACUAGGUGUAGGGUGUGAUAAACAUUCUGUGCCGUCGCAAACGCAAUAAGUAUCCCACCUGGGGAGUACGGCCGCAAGGUUGAAACUCAAAGGAAUUGACGGGGGCCCGCACAAGCAGUGGAGUAUGUGGUUUAAUUCGACGCAACGCGAAGAACCUUACCAGGGCUUGACAUAUACAGGAAUAUAUAAGAGAUUAUAUAGCUCUUCGGAGUCUGUAUACAGGUGGUGCAUGGUUGUCGUCAGCUCGUGUCGUGAGAUGUUGGGUUAAGUCCCGCAACGAGCGCAACCCCUGUUCUUAGUUGCCAGCACAUAAUGGUGGGAACUCUAAGAAGACUGCCGGUGAUAAAUCGGAGGAAGGUGGGGACGACGUCAAAUCAUCAUGCCCUUUAUGUCCUGGGCUACACACGUACUACAAUGGCUAUCACAGAGGGAAGCUAAGCCGCGAGGUGGAGCAAAACCCAAAAAAGUAGUCUCAGUUCGGAUUGAAGGCUGAAAUUCGCCUUCAUGAAGCCGGAAUUGCUAGUAAUGGCAGGUCAGCAUACUGCCGUGAAUACGUUCCCGGGCCCCUUGUACACACCGCCCGUC
This 1426-nucleotide ribosomal RNA is filed under the name uncultured bacterium. Its description in RNAcentral is "bacterial SSU rRNA". It matches the Rfam family "Bacterial small subunit ribosomal RNA". The record is from RNAcentral.